CCUACGGGGAGCAGCAGUGGGGAAUAUUGGGCAAUGGGCGCAAGCCUGAUCCAGCAACGCCGCGUGAAGGAAGAAGGCUUUCGGGUCGUAAACUUCUUUUGACAGGGAAGAGAAUAAGACGGUACCUCUCGAAUCAGCCACGGCUAACUACGGUCCAGCAGCCGCGGUAAUACGUAGGUGGCAAGCGUUGUCCGGAUUUACUGGGUGUAAAGGGCGUGUAGCCGGGUUGACAAGUCAGAUGUGAAAUCCUGCGGCUUAACCGCAGAACUGCAUUUGAAACUGUGGAUCUUGAGUGCUGGAGAGGCAGGCGGAAUUCCUAGUGUAGCGGUGAAAUGCGUAGAUAUUAGGAGGAACACCAGUGGCGAAGGCGGUCUGCUGGACAGUAACUGACGGUGAGGCGCGAAAGCGUGGGGAGCAAACAGGAUUAGAUACCCGAGUAGUC
RNAcentral lists this ribosomal RNA (442 nucleotides) under uncultured bacterium. Its description in RNAcentral is "partial 16S ribosomal RNA". It matches the Rfam family "Bacterial small subunit ribosomal RNA", at positions 338 to 795 of the family's 1533-position model. The record is from RNAcentral.